RNAcentral lists this long non-coding RNA (302 nucleotides) under Brassica napus (rape). Its description in RNAcentral is "long non-coding RNA (BNAP_LNC026134)". The record is from RNAcentral. Lineage: Eukaryota; Viridiplantae; Streptophyta; Magnoliopsida; Brassicales; Brassicaceae.
AGAUGAACCGCCUCUUAAACCACCUAAUUCUACCUCUAACACAAGAUUACAAAGCUAUUCCUAGGCAUCUGAGACAUACUAAUUGAGAGUGACAAAUAAAGACCGGGCCAUUGAUUCCAUAAGAUAUGAGUGUAGUGCAUGAUCAAUCGCGUUAACACCUUAAAGGCGCAUACUCUCAAUUAGAAGAACCGAGUGACCAGGAACAUGUAGCUUUGCAACCUUGUCGGGGAGUCGAAACCUGAAACGUCCGCACAUCCCCAAAAAGUCGACUUGAAACUUCUGCAACACUUGUAGUCCAGCAC